GGCUCAGUUCAGCAGGAACAG
RNAcentral lists this non-coding RNA (21 nucleotides) under Sus scrofa (pig). The record is from RNAcentral. Lineage: Eukaryota; Metazoa; Chordata; Mammalia; Artiodactyla; Suidae. RNAcentral also lists the same sequence under 1 other name.